UACGUAGGGUGCGAGCGUUGUCCGGAAUUAUUGGGCGUAAAGGGCUCGUAGGCGGUCUGUUGCGUCGGGAGUGAAAACUCAGGGCUUAACCCUGAGCCUGCUUCCGAUACGGGCAGACUAGAGUUCGGUAGGGGAUCACGGAAUUCCUGGUGUAGCGGUGAAAUGCGCAGAUAUCAGGAGGAACACCGGUGGCGAAGGCGGUGAUCUGGGCCGACACUGACGCUGUAGAGCGAAAGCGUGGGGAGCGAACAGG
Molecule: ribosomal RNA, 253 nt
Filed under: uncultured bacterium
Lineage: Bacteria
Description: partial 16S ribosomal RNA
Rfam family: Bacterial small subunit ribosomal RNA
Source: RNAcentral